RNAcentral lists this ribosomal RNA (497 nucleotides) under uncultured bacterium. Its description in RNAcentral is "partial 16S ribosomal RNA". It matches the Rfam family "Bacterial small subunit ribosomal RNA", at positions 28 to 507 of the family's 1533-position model. The record is from RNAcentral.
GAUGAACGCUGGCGGCGUGCCUAACACAUGCAAGUCGAGCGGACGGACGGAACUUUUGCUUGUCUUAUGUUAGGGGCGGACGGGUGAGUAACAGGAGUCUACCCUACCUUUAGGGCUGGGGUAACUUCGGGAACCCGAAUCUAACACCGGAUAAGAUUUUGAACCUCAGGGUUCAAAAGACAAAGACGUUCUUGCUGUCCCUAGUAGAUGUUUCCGCGCUGCAUUAGCUAGUUGGUAAGGUAACGGCUUACCAAGGCAACGAUGCGUAGCCGACCUGAGAGGGUGAUCGGCCACACUGGAACUGAGACACGGUCCAGACUCCUACGGGAGGCAGCAGUAGGGAAUCUUGGGCAAUGGGCGAAAGCCUGACGGAGCAACGCCGCGUGAGUGAUGAAGGUCUUCGGAUCGUAAAGCACUGUUAGUUGGGAAGAACAGAUGUGUGAGUAAAUGUGGCCAUCUUGACGGUACCAAAUCAAAAAGCACCGGCUAGCUACGUG